This 422-nucleotide ribosomal RNA is filed under the name uncultured bacterium. RNAcentral's name for it is "bacterial SSU rRNA". It matches the Rfam family "Bacterial small subunit ribosomal RNA", at positions 355 to 774 of the family's 1533-position model. The record is from RNAcentral.
UGAGGAAUAUUGGGCAAUGCCCGCAAGGGUGACCCAGCAACGCCGCGUGGAGGAUGAAUGUCGUAAGAUUGUAAACUCCUGUUAGAGGGGAAGAAUAGUACCGGUUGGACCGGUAUAUGACUGUACCCUCAGAGAAAGCCCCGGCUAACUACGUGCCAGCAGCCGCGGUAAUACGUAGGGGGCAAGCGUUGUCCGGAUUUACUGGGUGUAAAGGGCGCGCAGGCGGGAUAAAAAGUCAGUGGUGAAAUCCUACAGCUUAACUGUAGAACUUCCUUUGAUACUUUUAUUCUUGAGUUCGGGAGGGAGAGACGGAAUUCCAGGUGUAGUGGUGAAAUACGUAGAUAUCUGGAAGAACACCAGUUGCGAAGGCGGUCUCUUGGUCCGACACUGACGCUGAGGCGCGAAAGCGUGGGGAGCAAACA